Molecule: non-coding RNA, 2182 nt
Organism: Chlorocebus sabaeus (green monkey)
Lineage: Eukaryota; Metazoa; Chordata; Mammalia; Primates; Cercopithecidae
Source: RefSeq, a predicted model, not a curated record
GCGGAGCUUGUAGUGAGACAAGAUCGCGCCACUGCACUCCAGCCUGGGCAACAGAGCCAGACUCCGUCUCAAAAAAAAAAAAAAAAAAAAGUUUGGAGGGCUGAGAGACAAGACUGUUUGCCUCUUCCCCCUCAAAGAGCUACAGAAGAAUUUUUCUUUUUCUUUUUUUGAGAUAGUUUCACUCUGUCACUCAGACUGGACGAAGUGCAGUGGCACCAUCUCGGCUCACUGAAACCUCUGCCUCUAGGAUUCAAGCCAUAAUAUGCCACCAUGCCUGGCCACAGAAUAAUUUUUCUAAGAAGGAGAAUCUUAUUGAGCAAAACGUCUUGAAUGAGCCAAUUGGGAAGGGCGGCAAGUCUUCAACAGGUGGCAAAACACAGGGAAAGCCCUGGUAAAGGGAGGAAAAGAACUAGGGGCUACUCCUGAGGACUGGGCGGGAGGGAGGGAGAGAGGAUGCCUCACCAAAAUGGCGGCGGCGCAGGGGACUUCGCAGGGGCGAUACAUGCAAUCUUCCAUCUUCAGCUGUGGGCGCUGCUGUGACGUAAAAUCCAUAAAGCACCCUCCAGAAACCACUUUCCGGAAACCACCCUCCAGAAACUGUCAACUCUGUGGCCCACACAUGCCUGGGGUGACGGGGGCUUCUGUGAGAGUGUGAAUGCUCUGAGCCAAGAAGACAGCCUGCUCUGCUCAGCUGCAGCUGCGGUAACACCACCACAGAUUCGGCGGCUUCAGUAACAGUGACUGUCUCAUCAUCCUGGAGGCUGGAGGUUCCAGAUCAAGGUGCUGGCCAGCAGAUGAACUGCCAAAGCCCGUAAAUGCACAUAAGUGGUUUGGCCAAAGUCCACCAGAGAGCAGGAAGAAGGAUGGAGAUCCUGCAUUCAAUGAACAAUGUGAUGCUACCACCUUGGGAAGAUUUUUUGCAAAGAAUUCAAAGAAUAAUUUAGAUUAUUAGUGCUGGAAGAAGCUUGAAGACUACCCUCUCCAAAGCCUCUUUUUACAGAUGAGGAAACUGAGGCCUAGAGGUUGGAAAUGAUUUACCCAACAUCCCACAGUCUUCCAGUUCCAAGGCUGGAACCAGAACUGGCUUCACACAGGCUUGCCUCCUCUCAUCUUGACCAGGGCCCUACAGGCUCUGAAUCGCUUCUCCAGACAAGACCAGACCAGACCAGCAAGCUCAGAUCAGAACCGCGUUUUCUGCCAUGGCAUUGCUCCCCAGCCACAGAGGCCUCGGGCAGUCCGGUUCUGCAUCAGUGGAGGAGGUGGUCCAAGUUGUGUUUGCUCAUCAAGGGGGACCCACAGCUCCCAUGGCUGAUUGACAAACCCAGCGACCUAAGCCCGUUGCUAUUCACAGAUGGCCCAGCCCUCAUCCUAAGGCCAUCAGGAAACCUCAGCUUCUUUCUCUGGUGACUGAAUUCAGUGUUCUAACUCCCUACCUUACACAGCUAAGCAUGGAGCUACUAAUAGCUCUGUUAUCAUGUUCCCAUUUUAAUACAAACAAACAGCCGUAGCCCAGGAAAGAGAUUUGUCAGAGGUUGCUUGCCUUCUGCUCUGGCAAGAGACCUUCACAGCACCAAGCACCUGGCUGUUCUGUGGGGUUUAAGUAAAAUGAUGACUCUUGUUUCACACCCUCCCCUUAGCCUCCUAUUUCUUCCCUUCCUCCACCUUUGAGGCCACCUAGAAAUUUUGAUGUAGAAAAUUCCAAUCUUGUAGAACAUCAGGACUGGGAAAACCUUAGAGAUUCCCUGCUCUCAUGACCCAGUGAUCAGAAACAGAACUGACAUAUUCAUCCUUCUGGUCAUGACAGGCUGGGCCGGUUAUUGAGUUAUUGCUUGUCACCUCCAAAUCCCCUACAUUCAGAUGUUGGGGGACUCUGCAAACUGCAUUUCUGCUUUGCCAACUGCUCUUCAAGAAGCUCUGCCAGGAGGGACUAGAGGCCAGAGGAGGAAGAAGGACAGGGAACACACUCCUUCCGGUCUGUUUCUUGUUUCUGUGAGCAGCACCCUGGCCCACUGCUUCACCCAGGCAGUAGCAGUUCCCUCCCUCAGCAGUGAAAGAACCAAGUUUGCAGUUUUACUGAUUCCUGCAGAGCCAGCCACAUGGUGCUCCCUCAGACACGCCAGCUCCAGCCAUGUGGAGCCCCCUCCAUGGAGCUCUGAGGUUCACUUCUGUGGGGCUCCUCCUC